RNAcentral lists this ribosomal RNA (580 nucleotides) under Fictibacillus sp. RNAcentral describes it as "bacterial SSU rRNA". It matches the Rfam family "Bacterial small subunit ribosomal RNA", at positions 57 to 621 of the family's 1533-position model. The record is from RNAcentral. Lineage: Bacteria; Bacillati; Bacillota; Bacilli; Caryophanales; Fictibacillaceae.
GCAGUCGAGCGAUGACGAGGAGCUUGCUCCUCUGAUUUAGCGGCGGACGGGUGAGUAACACGUGGGUAAUCUGCCUGUAAGACGGGGAUAACUCCGGGAAACCGGGGCUAAUACCGGAUAAUAAGAAGAAACGCAUGUUUCUUUUUUGAAAGUCGGCAUCUCGCUGACACUUACAGAUGAGCCCGCGGCGCAUUAGCUAGUUGGUGAGGUAACGGCUCACCAAGGCGACGAUGCGUAGCCGACCUGAGAGGGUGAUCGGCCACACUGGGACUGAGACACGGCCCAAACUCCUACGGGAGGCAGCAGUAGGGAAUCUUCGGCAAUGGGCGAAAGCCUGACCGAGCAACGCCGCGUGAGCGAUGAAGGCCUUCGGGUCGUAAAGCUCUGUUGUUAGAGAAGAACAAGUACGAGAGUAACUGCUCGUACCUUGACGGUACCUAACCAGAAAGCCACGGCUAACUACGUGCCAGCAGCCGCGGUAAUACGUAGGUGGCAAGCGUUAUCCGGAAUUAUUGGGCGUAAAGCGCGCGCAGGCGGUCUCUUAAGUCUGAUGUGAAAGCCCACGGCUCAACCGUGGAGG